UGCAGUCGAACGACAUAGUGGCAGACGGGUGAGUAACGCGUGGGAACGUACCUUUCACUACGGAAUAGCUCUUGGAAACGAGUGGUAAUACCGUAUACGCCCUCCGGGGGAAAGAUUUAUCGGUGAAAGAUCGGCCCGCGUUAGAUUAGCUAGUUGGUAGGGUAACGGCCUACCAAGGCGACGAUCUAUAGCUGGUCUGAGAGGAUGAUCAGCCACACUGGGACUGAGACACGGCCCAGACUCCUACGGGAGGCAGCAGUGGGGAAUCUUGCACAAUGGGCGAAAGCCUGAUGCAGCCAUGCCGCGUGAAUGAUGAAGGCCUUAGGGUUGUAAAAUUCUUUCGCCAGGGAUGAUAAUGACAGUACCUGGUAAAGAAGCCCGGCUAACUUCGUGCCAGCAGCCGCGGUAAUACGAAGGGGGCUAGCGUUGUUCGGAAUUACUGGGCGUAAAGCGCACGUAGGCGGACUUUUAAGUCAGAUGUGAAAUCCCGGGGCUCAACCUCGGAACUGCAUUUGAAACUGGAAGUCUAGAGACCAGGAGAGGUUAGCGGAAUACCGAGUGUAGAGGUGAAAUUCGUAAAUAUUCGGUGGAACACCAGUGGCGA
RNAcentral lists this ribosomal RNA (604 nucleotides) under uncultured Hyphomonas sp. Its description in RNAcentral is "bacterial SSU rRNA". It matches the Rfam family "Bacterial small subunit ribosomal RNA", at positions 56 to 718 of the family's 1533-position model. Lineage: Bacteria; Pseudomonadati; Pseudomonadota; Alphaproteobacteria; Hyphomonadales; Hyphomonadaceae. The record is from RNAcentral.